GAUGAACGCUAGCUACAGGCUUAACACAUGCAAGUCGAGGGGAAACGAUAUUGGAAGCUUGCUUCUGAUAGGCGUCGACCGGCGCACGGGUGAGUAACGCGUAUCCAACCUGCCCAUCACUUGGGGAUAACCUUGUGAAAGUAAGACUAAUACCCAAUGACGUCUCUAGAAGACAUCUGAAAGAGAUUAAAGAUUUAUCGGUGAUGGAUGGGGAUGCGUCUGAUUAGCUAGUUGGUGAGGUAACGGCCCACCAAGGCGACGAUCAGUAGCCGGACUGAGAGGUUGACCGGCACAUUGGGACUGAGAUACGGCCCAGACUCCUACGGGAGGCAGCAUGGGGAAUAUUGGGCGAAUAGGGCGGCAAGACCUCGACCCAACGCAACGACCGCC
This 390-nucleotide ribosomal RNA is filed under the name uncultured bacterium. Its description in RNAcentral is "bacterial SSU rRNA". It matches the Rfam family "Bacterial small subunit ribosomal RNA", at positions 46 to 392 of the family's 1533-position model. The record is from RNAcentral.